This is a long non-coding RNA of Salvia miltiorrhiza (redroot sage), 717 nucleotides long. RefSeq lists it as uncharacterized. The record is from RefSeq and is a predicted model, not a curated record. NCBI's taxonomy places the organism in Eukaryota, Viridiplantae, Streptophyta, Magnoliopsida, Lamiales, Lamiaceae. The transcript has 3 exons.
AGUAGAGAGUUGAGAGUAUAUUAUGGAGAGAGUAAGGAUUGAUAGUGUAGAGAUUAGAGAGAGAUUAGAGUGAGAGAGAGAUCAAAGGCAUUAAUUGCCAAUAUUCUUUAAGAUUUGCAAAAUCUCUAUAAGAUCAUCUAAAUCUUGCAAAUCCAUUCAUAUCUAUCAAGCAACUCUCUCUCUCCUUCAUCCUCACCAAUCGGCCACCUCUCUCUCUCCUUUCUCUCUCAUAAUUCCUCCAUUGUCAACCAUUGGAGAGACCUCCGAAGCUUCACCAAAAUAUGCCAAACACAUAAAUCACCAACAAAAUUCCACCUAAACACCUCCUAUCAACUUGAAUCCAAGGAAAUCCUUGAAGAUUGGCUUCAAGACUAGUGAGAGAAAGUUUGUUUGUUGGUGAAAAACUUGAACACGAGCAGAGCAGGGAAGUAAGUAACUCCGCUUUGACGGGAGUUUUUGAGUAAGGUCUUCAGACUAAGCGAGGAGCGAGAUUGGUCUGGUGCUGGCGGGGAAAUGUUGGAGGAUGUAUUUACUUUAUCGUAUUUCCAUUUUGACGAUAAAGUCUUGAUGAUUGAUAUACUUUAAUUUUCUUUUGAAGUUAAGCAAUGUACUCACGGUUAUAUGUCUUCAUACAUAUAAUCGGUUCGCCUUUUGCUGCGAUACUCUGCAUAUUAUGAUUCCUUACGAAAAAUGAGCGAUACCCGUUUUGUUUUUGUU